UCAAAACAAAGACUCACACACACACAAGAGUAUUUAACCCUAAACUCACCUUCACCUUCAUUUUCUACUCCCUCCUCUCGGCACUACCUACAGACAAAGAAAAGGGCCAAACACUCCUCUUGGCCUCACCCUCUCCUUCCCUGAUGUCUGGCAGUCGGCGUACCAGGAACGUCGUCGCCGUUACGGUGGUGUCAGCCACCACUCUCGAUGACAAUCACAACCGCAACCCCUUCCCCCCUCGUCACUUGUGCAGCUCCGACAAACCACAGUCGCCGGCGACGUUACUGAAGACGAUGAUGAUGCCGAUGGUGUUUGACUCAGGCGAGUUCAAUCGGAUGGUGGUGACGACGGUUGCAUCGCCACCGUCUGCGACGGUGGAUGACGGUGGCAGUGACAGUGGUUCCAACCGGUUUUGGGUUAGAUUCAUCAAGAGUGUCGAUUCAGGUCCUCACGGUCCAACUUGGUUUCGGGUCAGAUCUCGUGUCUGGUUUGGGUUCAGUUCAAAAUUGGUUUAACUUGGUUCAGCAUAACAACUUCGGGUCAGUUUCGCAUUCGGGUCAAAUGUUGUUAAAGGCAGUCGACUCCGGUCAACAUCAUGUUCAGUUCGUUUCAGCCAGAUUCUCGUGUUUGCUUUGCACGGAUUCGGGUUCGGUUCAAGAGACGUGUCGAGUUACGGCUUGAUGUUCGGGCUUCAGUUCGGUCAGACGCGGUCAAAGCCAGUCAACUGGUCAAAGCCGGUCAACUGGUCAAACCUGGUCAACAGACGGGUCAUCGGGUUAAGCUUGAGACUCGAAUAAAAGUGGAGAAAAUGGUGACUUCGGUGUUCCAUCAUCCUAACCUCACACUCGUCGACACUUGGAUAAUCGGA
This is a long non-coding RNA of Helianthus annuus (common sunflower), 868 nucleotides long. RefSeq lists it as uncharacterized. The record is from RefSeq and is a predicted model, not a curated record. Lineage: Eukaryota; Viridiplantae; Streptophyta; Magnoliopsida; Asterales; Asteraceae. The transcript has 3 exons.